Molecule: ribosomal RNA, 500 nt
Filed under: uncultured bacterium
Lineage: Bacteria
Description: bacterial SSU rRNA
Rfam family: Bacterial small subunit ribosomal RNA
Source: RNAcentral
AGGAUGAACGCUAGCGGCAGGCUUAAUACAUGCAAGUCGAACGGUAACAGGCCUGGCAACAGGCGCUGACGAGUGGCGCACGGGUGCGUAACACGUAUGCAACCUACCCUUUACUGUGGGAUAACCCUGAGAAAUCGGGGCUAAUACCACAUGGUAUUAUUGAUUGGCAUCGGUUAAUAAUUAAAGAUUUAUUGGUAAGGGAUGGGCAUGCGCCCCAUUAGUUAGUUGGUAGGGUAAUAGCCUACCAAGGCGAUGAUGGGUAGGGGAUCUGAGAGGAUUAUCCCCCACACUGGUACUGAGACACGGACCAGACUCCUACGGGAGGCAGCAGUAAGGAAUAUUGGGCAAUGGAGGCAACUCUGACCCAGCCAUGCCGCGUGCAGGAAGACUGCCCUAUGGGUUGUAAACUGCUUUUAUACGGGACUAAUUUCAUUUACGUGUAGAUGAUUGCAUGUACCGUAAGAAUAAGCAUCGGCUAACUCCGUGCCAGCCGCCGCGGU